This 269-nucleotide ribosomal RNA is filed under the name uncultured prokaryote. Its description in RNAcentral is "partial 16S ribosomal RNA". It matches the Rfam family "Bacterial small subunit ribosomal RNA", at positions 524 to 794 of the family's 1533-position model. The record is from RNAcentral.
UACGUAGGGGCGAGCGUUGUCCGGAAUUAUUGGGCGUAAAGGGUUCGCAGGCGGUCUGAUAAGUCAGAUGUGAAAGGCAAUGGCUCAACCAUUGUAAGCAUUUGAAACUGUCAGACUUGAGUUAAGGAGAGGAAAGUGGAAUUCCUAGUGUAGCGGUGAAAUGCGUAGAUAUUAGGAGGAAUACCAGUGGCGAAGGCGACUUUCUGGACUUAUACUGACGCUGAGGAACGAAAGCGUGGGGAGCAAACAGGAUUAGAUACCCUGGUAGU